Molecule: long non-coding RNA, 1244 nt
Organism: Neopelma chrysocephalum (saffron-crested tyrant-manakin)
Lineage: Eukaryota; Metazoa; Chordata; Aves; Passeriformes; Pipridae
Exons: 3
Source: RefSeq, a predicted model, not a curated record
ACCACACAGCUAAUUGUAGGUCUGGACUCCCUUGGAUAUUUCUUUCAUUAGUACCUCCCUUGGGAUACCUUACUCCAUUUGUGCCUCCACAGGCUGGCUUCAUCUUUUUUUAAGCCUUUGUUGUGGAUUCAGCAUAUCAAAGCCUCUCUUUGUCAGGACACUUCUAUUUUGUACUCUGAAUGGGGAUUAAACUACACAUGGUGUACCUGGAAGCACUUGUGAAUCUGUUCUGCCUGAUGUCCAUCCCCGCCUGGCGUCUCUCCCAUACCCCUCACGACUGGUCUGGUGACUCCAGAGCCAGUCUGGGCACAUUGGUCUUGGAUGAGGGCACAGGAUUAGUCACUGCCACCAAACAAUGUCUAAUUGUGUGUAUGUUUUCCUUUCCUCCAGAAAAGGACUCUGUGUUGUCUGUGCUGCCUCACUGCUCUAUUUUUCUGCAGUUUCUUAUUUUUCCACAAAAAAAGCUGCUCAUUCCUCCCAAACUUAUUGUAUGGCCCAGCCUCAGCUCAAGUGGCUUAAACUCAUACAAAUGGUGUCACAAGGAGAUUAAGGAACAUACUUUGUGGCAUGAUGAAAAGCAGCAAAUGACAGCAAAAUCCUGCCUUUUCACAAAACACAUGUGAUCUUUUUUGACUCUGUCCUCAUUUUUGGAUUACUUCAGAGGAGGAAACUUUGAAUUGUAACAGAUCUGCCAGCAAGAGCAAAGUGUCUCCAGUCACCUGUGCCUGGUCUUUGCUUUCUUACACAACCUUCUAUGUUUAAAUAGAGUAGUCUGCUUCUGCUUUUUGUUUGUUUGUUGUAAUCUGGUGUUUUAUUGGGUCUUAUGGGCUCACCUGAAGUCAGUUUAGUAGGAAACAAUCCCUGAGCAAGUGAAGUUAUAUCUAUCAUUGUUGUCACUUCAAAUACUUCAGAUGUCUUGCCAGUAAAAAACCCCUUCAAGGUACCAGCAUAGCACCUGAAAACUAUGAGUGAGACAAGCAAGGAAGGAUGUGAGCAGAUGGGAAGGGACUGGAGAGUUAGACAUGGAAAUCAGCAGGAUUUCCCCGGGGAGUAAACAAGAGCCUUCCAGGAAAUGUUCUACAGCUUGGGGGACACGUCAUGGCUGAACAGGACUUCAGAGAGCAGCUGAUAAAGAAAGAAGACCAGCAUAUUAGGGACAGUGAGAAUUCGGGUACUUCAGUAAGAAGGGCCAUGCAGGUGUUUCAGAAAUAUGUGAUAUCUGUGUCCUGGGCAUUCAUAUCAAC